GAAAAGGUUGGGAGCUGCUAUGCUAAAUUACUCCAGAUAAUUUUUCUGCUCUUAAGUCUGCUACUGCAAAUAGUGUAUUUUUGUCAUGAUUUUUCUUGCCCAACUUCAAUGAUAGGUAUUUACUAUCUCUAUGUAAAUUUCAAAACACAAGGACAUAUACCUAGUAUGAAAAAUCAGGGAAAAUAAAAACAAGUCUAAUAUUUUUUUUAGGAAAGGAAAAAAAUAGUAAAAUAGGUUCUAAAAUUGGGUUAUGACACCCAUAAGAUUGUGAAUAAAACUUGCGCCCUUUGGACCUGAAUUUGGCAAAUAUUUAUUGGGUGCUGGAUCAGGCUGCCCACAGAAUCCAAAUGCCAAAGUUCUCCUUUGAUAACCUUUGUGCUUGCAUCAGGAGCUUUUGCAAUACUCCUAAUUUUGAAUGCUGUGCAAGGGGACUUGGCCAGGAUCGAGACCCUAACCCUAACCCCUCCCAUCCAAGAAGCCUAUUGCUUAAAUUGCCUGGAACAGCCACUAAGACAGCACAAUGCUCCCAGGCGAAGAACCAUUUUGGAAGAAGAUAGACUGAGGUUAGGGAAGAAAAAUGUUCCAGUCCUACCUGGAUCAACUUGGAUAGCAUUUUGAAGUAAAUGGGAUGAUUUCAGGAACUGUGGAGAGUGCAGAAAUUGUUGAAAUACUGUACAGCCCAAAUUCAGGGCUGAGUUCUGACAAUAGUAUGCAAGCCUGUUUGAAGUAAAUUGGAGGAUUUCAGGAACUACCGGUAUGUUGAACAAAUUGAGAUUAAAGUUGACACAGUUUUGUGCUCCAGCUCUCCUGGCGAUGAGUGGCAGUAAAGUUCCAAGACAUGUCUGUGCAAAGCAAAUCCUGCUAAAAUCUGAUUUAAUAACAUUCUGGGCAGGGUACAAAGAUUUAAGACUCCACACUGCAAUCAACACUGCAUCAGCUGAGGCAUGCAAAUGACUAUCCAGGAAAGUGAAAAAAAAAAAACCCUGAACAAAUCAUAAAAAAGCUUGAAAUAAAUUUGAUCACCCUCAAAAA
Long non-coding RNA from Crotalus tigris (Tiger rattlesnake), 1032 nucleotides. RefSeq lists it as uncharacterized. Lineage: Eukaryota; Metazoa; Chordata; Lepidosauria; Squamata; Viperidae. The record is from RefSeq and is a predicted model, not a curated record. The transcript has 2 exons.